GUAGUCUCGCACAGAUGCAUAUCAAUAAGCGGAGGAAAAGAAACUAACAAGGAUUCCCUCAGUAACGGCGAGUGAAGCGGGAAGAGCUCAAAUUUGAAAUCUUGAAAGGUCACCCUUCACGAAUUGUAGUUUAAAGAAGUGUUUUCUGUUACGAUCGUAAUAUAAGUUCUUUGGAAUAGGACAUCACAGAGGGUGAGAAUCCCGUCUAUGAUUGCGAUUUGUAGCUUUGUGAUACACUUUCAAAGAGUCGGAUUGUUUGGGAAUGCAGUCCCAAAAUGGGUAGGUAAAUUUCAUCUAAGGCUAAAUAUUGGCGAGAGACCGAUAGCGAACUAGUACCGUGAGGGAAAGAUGAAAAGAACUUUGAAAAGAGAGUUAAACUAGUACGUGAAAUUGUCAAAAGGGAAGCGCUUUAACACCAGUGUUGUUUUCUGAAAAUCAACCUCUGUUAGCUUUAUGCAUGUUUGUUUAGACCUAAUCAGCUAUCUUGCAUGUUCUAUUGUUUGCAGUGGUGCACUUUUCAGUUUACAGGUCAACAUCAGUUUUUUUUACCGUAAAAAAGUUAAAGAAAGGUAGCUCAUGGCUCCGGUCGUGAGUGUUAUAGUCUUUUUCCUAUGCGGUAGGAGAGACUGAGGUCUGCAGUGUAGGCUAUUUGGCUAGAUACUCAGGUGCUAUGUGAUACCAUUUCAUAAACAACUUGUUGAUUAUGUUUUGUCUAUUGCAUACUCGCUUAUGCUAUCAUACCUACGCUUAGGAUGUUGAGUCGUAGAGCACGCAG
This 775-nucleotide ribosomal RNA is filed under the name uncultured Neocallimastigales. RNAcentral describes it as "partial large subunit ribosomal RNA". The stretch from base 6 to 665 matches the Rfam family "Eukaryotic large subunit ribosomal RNA", at positions 24 to 664 of the family's 3401-position model. Lineage: Eukaryota; Fungi; Neocallimastigomycota; Neocallimastigomycetes; Neocallimastigales. The record is from RNAcentral.